This 158-nucleotide ribosomal RNA is filed under the name Linnemannia gamsii. Its description in RNAcentral is "Mortierella gamsii 5.8S ribosomal RNA". It matches the Rfam family "5.8S ribosomal RNA". From Rfam's summary of the family: 5.8S ribosomal RNA (5.8S rRNA) is a component of the large subunit of the eukaryotic ribosome. It is transcribed by RNA polymerase I as part of the 45S precursor that also contains 18S and 28S rRNA. Lineage: Eukaryota; Fungi; Mortierellomycota; Mortierellomycetes; Mortierellales; Mortierellaceae. The record is from RNAcentral. RNAcentral also lists the same sequence under 42 other names.
CAACUUUCAACAACGGAUCUCUUGGCUCUCGCAUCGAUGAAGAACGCAGCGAAAUGCGAUACGUAAUGUGAAUUGCAGAAUUCAGUGAAUCAUCGAAUCUUUGAACGCACAUUGCACUCUCUGGUAUUCCGGAGAGUAUGCUUGUUUGAGUAUCAGUA